CCUUCUUUGAGGCAAUGCUUAAAAGGGCUUGUGGAACAAAGGACUUCAAGUGGGAAGGGCAAAGCCUGGCCCUCCAGAUGUUUUUGAAUGCCAGGUCCCAGCAGCUGUAGCCAAUAGUAAAGGAUGAUGGGAGAGCUAAACACACGUAUUUUCCUCAGGCUAUCCUCAUAAGGUUUAGUUUCCAGAUGAGAUGGCCUUUGGACUUAAUCCAGAUCGCUCCCUUGUGAAAACUAGUAGCAGAACAACUACAGCAUGUUUCCUAUCUGUGGAGACAACUCAACAAAAGAGACAAGAAGCCUACACCAUUGCCAGUUUGCUUGUUAUCCAGUAUUCCUUAAAAGACAGGAAAGCUAGAACAUCAUCUUAGAGCAGGAGUUAAACCAUUUUGAUCAAAUUUGUUCUCAGAUUCAGACAGCAAGUUUGCCAUGGGUGGCAAGCAGUUUCUGAAUCUCUACGAUGGGCCAGACAAGAUGACAAAUUGCAAACCUAGGUUAAGGAGCCAGGCACAUGGGGAGGGGGGCAGUGGAUCGUGAAAGUGAAAUGUUUGUGUCUUAGUCAUUCAGGAACCACAUUCUUUUUCCGACAGCUGUCACCCAUGCCUGCACCUUGCUACAACAGCUAGUUGGCGCAGGGGGAGGGGGAGGUAUGUUUUAAACGAUGCAUACAGGAAAAGACAUCACGCUGGACCUCUGUGGGGGAAGGGAGCAGAAGAGACAGUCAUGUCUAGCUUGAAUUCAGGAGUUAGGAGAUGGGGUGUGGAAAGAGUUCUCACUAAUGGAAAAAUGGACCAUCCAUAAAGUUUGCAAACCAAUAACAUUAAUAAUAAUGAUAAUUCAAAAAAAAAUGCCAGCUUUGUUACGGCUUCCAGUAAAACUCAGCUCAUAAAAACAGGCAUGUCAUGAGUUCAGUCAGGUGAGAUCAGAUCCUGAAGUAAUGCAAAUCACUGAUGUGGAAGUGCUGUGAACUAAACCAGAAGCUGCAGUUUCAUAUCUACUGCCAAGUUUUCACUUCCUGAAAACUAUGAGGCCUGUGACUGCAAACUCUGACUUCCAUUCAUGGCAAAGGAAGUGUGAGUUCAUCCACUUUUUCUCUUCCAACAUCUCACUGCUCACCUGAGCUACCUGAGCAUUCAGCCCCAGUUCCUGCAGAGUUUUUUAAAAAAAUCCUUUUUGUAACCUUUUAGAUUGGGGGUGUAACUGAAUCCCAAACUAUUACCCUUUGGGGCCAAAUAUGACUAUCCUUAAUCUUUGCCGGUGAGACUUCUUCUCUCCCACUUCUCUUUAAAAAAUGGGCAGUCAUGGUAGGAUGUGAUGCAGUUAUGAAUCAUGAUCAAUCAACAACAAAUUCUUUAGCUAUUUGAUACAGUACAAUUUGCAAAAGCAGAUUUGGAUGUGGAACAUAUCCAGUCAAAGCUGAAUCUCCAAGGUGUCCCCCACCCCCCCAAAUCAUCCACAGAAACUGUGGCAAGCAAUUUUUGAAGGAUCCAGAACUGCGUGUCUGCUCACGCAUGAGCCAAACUACAAAACUGGUUUGUGUUGGGUCAAAGCAUGGCAGGCAGAAAGCAAAGGGAACUGAACUCUAAACGCAGCCCUUCUAAACCCCAGAAGGGCACAGUCCAGUGUUCCUGCCUCUCAGCAUGUCAAAGUCCCACGUAGCACGCUUUCAGUCUCCCAGACCGCUGUAUUGAUGGGCAGCAAUGCAAGCGGUUGAGGCUGUGGCCUGACUUCACCUCUGCAGGCCCAGAGAUAAGCCUCCCUCUUUUUGCUUCCCUUUUCCUUUGCAACCGACAUGUACCUGACACAGCAG
Python bivittatus (Burmese python) is the source of this 1806-nucleotide long non-coding RNA. RefSeq lists it as uncharacterized. The record is from RefSeq and is a predicted model, not a curated record. NCBI's taxonomy places the organism in Eukaryota, Metazoa, Chordata, Lepidosauria, Squamata, Pythonidae.